Molecule: unclassified non-coding RNA, 106 nt
Filed under: soil metagenome
Description: partial internal transcribed spacer 1
Source: RNAcentral
UGAACGCCCUCACGGGCUUAUAACUAUUCCAAACCUCUGUGAACCGUGCCCUUCGGGGCUAUUUUACAAACAUGGUGUAAUGAACGUCAUAUAUCAUAACAAAACA